Molecule: non-coding RNA, 66 nt
Organism: Mesocricetus auratus (golden hamster)
Lineage: Eukaryota; Metazoa; Chordata; Mammalia; Rodentia; Cricetidae
Source: Rfam
GGGUUACACAGCUCUUUUAGAAUUUGUCUAGCAGGUUUUCUGACUUUUUUUUUGGAACCCGCCCUC